AACGAACGCUGGCGGCAGGCCUAACACAUGCAAGUCGAACGCACCGCAAGGUGAGUGGCGCACGGGUGAGUAACACGUGGGAAUGUACCCUUUGGUUCGGAAUAACGUUUGGAAACGAACGCUAAUACCGGAUGAGCCCUACGGGGGAAAGAUUUAUCGCCAAAGGAGCAGCCCGCGUCUGAUUAGCUAGUUGGUGGGGUAAAGGCCUACCAAGGCGACGAUCAGUAGCUGGUCUGAGAGGAUGAUCAGCCACACUGGGACUGAGACACGGCCCAGACUCCUACGGGAGGCAGCAGUGGGGAAUAUUGGACAAUGGGCGCAAGCCUGAUCCAGCCAUGCCGCGUGAGUGAUGAAGGCCUUCGGGUUGUAAAGCUCUUUCGCACACGACGAUGAUGACGGUAGUGUGAGAAGAAGCCCCGGCUAACUUCGUGCCAGCAGCCGCCGUAA
RNAcentral lists this ribosomal RNA (447 nucleotides) under uncultured bacterium. RNAcentral's name for it is "partial 16S ribosomal RNA". It matches the Rfam family "Bacterial small subunit ribosomal RNA", at positions 29 to 523 of the family's 1533-position model. The record is from RNAcentral.